GCGGAGAGAGCCAUCCGUAGCUGCUACAAUCCCUGUUCUUCUUUCGCUCAUUGCAGAGGAAAGGGAAGGACGAUUCGCGCGCUCUCCACAUGCAGGUUUCGAGGGCUGGGCCUUCUUUCCUCCCUCUUUUAACUUCUCACCGCGAAGUUGCCUGCCUUUGCACCCCCGCCGGCCUGGCAUGGUUUGUCCUGGAGCAAAGCAUAAAGGGAACGGAAGGCAAGGGAGGCCAUCCUUCUGCCUGGCGCGCGAGGGGACCGGGUUUGACUCGGCGGUUAUGGAGGCAACGAAGCGCCCCAGCCUAGGCGCGCGGCGAAAGCCUCGGAGGCUCCCAGGACGGAAGUGGGAGCGCGGGGACGACUUCCGGCACCCCUCGUGACGUUCCGCUGGAAAGGCGCGUGGCCUGGCCGCCGAUUGCAAAGCGCGAGACCAGUAGAAACACGUGAUGUAAGCAGACAAAGCUGUCAUUUUGAAUGAAAGUAAUUCUUAGGAUGCAGUUGUAGAAUGACUGAGCCAGAAAGUAAAAGAGAGAAGAUGGGCUUUUUGUACAAAGACUGGCAAAAGAACCAUUGUUCUGAGGCAGCUUCACAGCAACUCUGCACUAGAUAUACAGCACAAUGCAAGAAUAGUGCUCUGGCAUCU
Molecule: long non-coding RNA, 639 nt
Organism: Notechis scutatus (mainland tiger snake)
Lineage: Eukaryota; Metazoa; Chordata; Lepidosauria; Squamata; Elapidae
Source: RefSeq, a predicted model, not a curated record